This 500-nucleotide ribosomal RNA is filed under the name uncultured bacterium. RNAcentral describes it as "partial 16S ribosomal RNA". It matches the Rfam family "Bacterial small subunit ribosomal RNA", at positions 30 to 523 of the family's 1533-position model. The record is from RNAcentral.
AUUGAACGCUGGCGGCAUGCCUUACACAUGCAAGUCGAACGGCAGCACGGGAGCAAUCCUGGUGGCGAGUGGCGAGCGGGUGAGUAAAGUAUCGGAACGUGCCCAGUCGUGGGGGAUAACGUAGCGAAAGUUACGCUAAUACCGCAUACGAUCUAUGGAUGAAAGCGGGGGAUCGCAAGACCUCGCGCGAUUGGAGCGGCCGAUAUCAGAUUAGGUAGUUGGUGGGGUAAAGGCUCACCAAGCCGACGAUCUGUAGCUGGUCUGAGAGGACGACAGGCCACACUGGGACUGAGACACGGCCCAGACUCCUACGGGAGGCAGCAGUGGGGAAUUUUGGACAACGGGCGAAAGCCUGAUUCAGCCAUGCCGCGUGCAGGAUGAAGGCCUUCGGGUUGUAAACUGCUUUUGUACGGAACGAAAAGGUUUGGCCUAAUAAGCUGAGCUCAUGACGGUACCGUAAGAAUAAGCACCGGCUAACUACGUGCCAGCCGCCGCCGUAA